Molecule: long non-coding RNA, 922 nt
Organism: Patella vulgata (common limpet)
Lineage: Eukaryota; Metazoa; Mollusca; Gastropoda; Patellidae
Exons: 7
Source: RefSeq, a predicted model, not a curated record
CUUACCGACGCUUUUAAAGGCAUAGCUGGAUUCAAAGAAAUCGAAGUACUGGAAUUUAAAGAAGGAAAUGUUAUAUGUGAAUAUAAAGCUGUAUUUGAUUUACUUGAAACCAAUGAAAACACAAUAAAACAAAUCAACACAACUGUUGUAGAGAGGAUUAAUAAUAUUAUUACACUACCAGCACCUGUUGAUAAGAACUAUACAAAACAACAAAUAGACAACUUUAUAAAUUCUGGUGAAGCAGCUAGAUUUGUCGAUCCUUGUAUAGAUGCAUGUCCUACUGGUAGCACGUGUAGUAGAACGUCUAACAAUGAUUUAAACUGUAGAGAUUCGUGUGAUGGUUUUAACUGCGGUAAAUCCGGUACAUGUGUUUUACAUUUAGGACAACCCAAGUGUAGAUGUGAUGAGACGUCUGAUGUGAUAUACAGUGGAGAGAAAUGUGAUGAAGAAAUAGAGAAACUAUUAUUAUCAACAAAUUAUAUCAUUAUUAUAAGUUGUAGUAUAUUUGGUGUUAUUAUUAUCAUCACUAUUAUCAUAGUUGUUGUGAUCAAAAGGAGAGCACGUCUACAGACAAAAAAUGAUAAGAAAUCCGAUCAAAACAAUUUGAGUUUUGAGAGCAUUUCAUCGUACAACCCGGCACUGGAUGAAGAAAACAUUAACGAAUCAACUACUGAUGGACGUAUGAGAUCUGAUACAGAUGCAAAUAAGAAUCAAAUACAUCAACUUGGUAAUAUUAGUCCAUCUGGCGGCUCGUUUUAUGAACACAUCGACACGGAAACCACGUUCGUGAUUCGCCGCCCGAAGAUAAAUGUUUAUGGCCAAGAUAACUUGACAAGUUAUUUGAAAACGGAGAUAUGAAAUGAGAUUGUCAUUAUAAAUAAUGUUUUAAAACGUCAGGGCUGCUUGGUAAUGUGGAGGUGGG